Molecule: long non-coding RNA, 505 nt
Organism: Oryzias melastigma (Indian medaka)
Lineage: Eukaryota; Metazoa; Chordata; Actinopteri; Beloniformes; Adrianichthyidae
Exons: 2
Source: RefSeq, a predicted model, not a curated record
CUACGGCAGUCAUCAGGUAUUAGUAUGAUUAUUUUUAAACAAUACUGGAUUUUCAAUCGAUGACUAACCUGAAAAAAAAAUCAAUCAGCCAUAAUUCACACCAAAUCCUAAUUAAAAACUGUGUGUAUUUUCUCUAUCUAGGACUACAAAAUGUUCUGAAAAAAAAACACCAAGACUGCGAGGACAUCCAUCCACCCAGUGCCCAUCCUUGUCCAUGCCAGGGAAAGCCAAGUACUACCUUGGUAGUUCAUGGUUCACACCAGGUUUUUCUACAACAAUUUCUGUGUUUUGGGGAGAAGUUUCUUCAGAUAAAAUGGUCGAGAUUCUGCCUUUUUGUGCAUGCUGAACAGAAGAAAACUGAACAUCUACAACACAUGUUCUUACCCUAUCUUUGUACCAGUCCUUCUGUUUUCAAGGUAAAAUAUGUUAUACUACAGGUACAAAAUACAACAGAGGUUUAUACUUAAUAAACACCUGUUGUGACAGUAAAAUCUGUCCAAUACAA